This 77-nucleotide microRNA precursor is filed under the name Haemonchus contortus (barber pole worm). RNAcentral describes it as "microRNA hco-mir-242 precursor". Its record names the gene hco-mir-242. Lineage: Eukaryota; Metazoa; Nematoda; Chromadorea; Rhabditida; Trichostrongylidae. The record is from miRBase by way of RNAcentral.
UUCAGUACCACUUGCGUAGGCCUUCGUGUAACGAGAAUUAUGUCAUCGUGACACGAUGCUGCGCAAGUAGUACUGCU